GAUGAACGCUGGCGGCGUGCCUAAUACAUGCAAGUCGAGCGAACGGACGAGAAGCUUGCUUUUCUGAUGUUGGCGGCGGACGGGUGAGUAACACGUGGAUAACCUACCUAUAAGACUGGGAUAACUUCGGGAAACCGGAGCUAAUACCGGAUAAUAUUUUGAACCGCAUGGUUCAAAAGUGAAAGACGGUCUUGCUGUCACUUAUAGAUGGAUCCGCGCUGCAUUAGCUAGUUGGUAAGGUAACGGCUUACCAAGGCAACGAUGCAUAGCCGACCUGAGAGGGUGAUCGGCCACACUGGAACUGAGACACGGUCCAGACUCCUACGGGAGGCAGCAGUAGGGAAUCUUCCGCAAUGGGCGAAAGCCUGACGGAGCAACGCCGCGUGAGUGAUGAAGGUCUUCGGAUCGUAAAACUCUGUUAUUAGGGAAGAACAUAUGUGUAAGUAACUGUGCACAUCUUGACAGUACCUAAUCAGAAAGCCACGGCUAACUACGUG
Molecule: ribosomal RNA, 497 nt
Filed under: uncultured bacterium
Lineage: Bacteria
Description: partial 16S ribosomal RNA
Rfam family: Bacterial small subunit ribosomal RNA
Source: RNAcentral